CCUACGGGGGGCUGCAGUGGGGAAUAUUGGACAAUGGGGGCAACCCUGAUCCAGCCAUGCCGCGUGUGUGAAGAAGGCCCUCGGGUUGUAAAGCACUUUCAGUGAGGAAGAACGCCUGGUGGUUAAUACCCAUCAGGAAAGACAUCACUCACAGAAGAAGCACCGGCUAACUCCGUGCCAGCAGCCGCGGUAAUACGGAGGGUGCGAGCGUUAAUCGGAAUUACUGGGCGUAAAGCGCGCGUAGGUGGCUUGAUAAGCCGGUUGUGAAAGCCCCGGGCUCAACCUGGGAACGGCAUCCGGAACUGUCAAGCUAGAGUGCAGGAGAGGAAAGUAGAAUUCCCGGUGUAGCGGUGAAAUGCGUAGAGAUCGGGAGGAAUACCAGUGGCGAAGGCGGCCUUCUGGACUGACACUGACACUGAGGUGCGAAAGCGUGGGUAGCAAACAGGAUUAGAUACCCCGGUAGUC
Molecule: ribosomal RNA, 465 nt
Filed under: Vreelandella stevensii
Lineage: Bacteria; Pseudomonadati; Pseudomonadota; Gammaproteobacteria; Oceanospirillales; Halomonadaceae
Description: partial 16S ribosomal RNA
Rfam family: Bacterial small subunit ribosomal RNA
Source: RNAcentral